CAGGAUUUGGUUUCACAGGUGGAUUCACAUGGAAAGCUUGAUCCUGAAGUUGAAGAUCUUCUUCUAGAGAUUGCUGAUGACUUCAUUGAUUCGGUUACUACAUUUGCUUGCAAUUUGGCGAAGCAUCGAAAAUCUUCGACUUUGGAGUCCAAGGAUGUACUGUUACAUCUAG
This is a non-coding RNA of Nicotiana tabacum (common tobacco), 172 nucleotides long. NCBI's taxonomy places the organism in Eukaryota, Viridiplantae, Streptophyta, Magnoliopsida, Solanales, Solanaceae. The record is from RefSeq and is a predicted model, not a curated record.